Molecule: ribosomal RNA, 467 nt
Filed under: uncultured bacterium
Lineage: Bacteria
Description: partial 16S ribosomal RNA
Rfam family: Bacterial small subunit ribosomal RNA
Source: RNAcentral
GACGGACGCUGGCGGCGUGCUUAACACAUGCAAGUCGAACGGAAAGGCCCUGCUUUUGUGGGGUGCUCGAGUGGCGAACGGGUGAGUAACACGUGAGUAACCUGCCCUUGACUUUGGGAUAACUUCAGGAAACUGGGGCUAAUACCGGAUAGGAGCUCCUGCUGCAUGGUGGGGGUUGGAAAGUUUCGGCGGUUGGGGAUGGACUCGCGGCUUAUCAGCUUGUUGGUGGGGUAGUGGCUUACCAAGGCUUUGACGGGUAGCCGGCCUGAGAGGGUGACCGGCCACAUUGGGACUGAGAUACGGCCCAGACUCCUACGGGAGGCAGCAGUGGGGAAUAUUGCACAAUGGGCGGAAGCCUGAUGCAGCAACGCCGCGUGCGGGAUGACGGCCUUCGGGUGGUAAACCGCUUUCGCCUGUGACGAAGCGUGAGUGACGGUAAUGGGUAAAGAAGCACCGGCUAACUACGU